GUAGGUGAACCUGCGGAAGGAUCAUUACCGUGGGGAUUCGUCCCCAUUGAGAUAGCACCCUUUGUUUAUGAGUACCCCCCGUUUCCUCGGCGGGCUUGCCCGCCGUCAGGACAUCCAAAAACCCUUUGUAGUAGCAGUAUCUUCAGUCAAAAAACAAAUAUUAAAACUUUCAACAACGGAUCUCUUGGUUCUG
RNAcentral lists this unclassified non-coding RNA (193 nucleotides) under rhizosphere metagenome. Its description in RNAcentral is "partial ribosomal RNA internal transcribed spacer region". The record is from RNAcentral.